RNAcentral lists this unclassified non-coding RNA (215 nucleotides) under soil metagenome. RNAcentral describes it as "partial contains 5.8S ribosomal RNA, internal transcribed spacer 2, and large subunit ribosomal RNA". The record is from RNAcentral.
AACGCACGAGACCUGCGGACCUGCGGAGGGAUCAUUACCGAGUUUACAACUCCCAAACCCAUGUGAACAUACCUACUGUUGCUUCGGCGGGAUUGCCCCGGGCGCCUCGUGUGCCCCGGAUCAGGCGCCCGCCUAGGAAACUUAACUCUUGUUUUAUUUUGGAAUCUUCUGAGUAGUUUUUACAAAUAAAUAAAAACUUUCAACAACGGAUCUCU